UCCUCUGAACAGUGACCAAUGUUAAUUUAUCAACAGGCCCAGGGCAUGACACCUCGAUACUGCGCUGCACCUGCCCUUUGGAGCCCUUGAUGAGCCAGUCAUCCAGAUAGGGAGAGAUCUGGACCCCCUCUUCCCCGAUGCCUGAGCAAACAGGGCCGAGCCGUCGAAUGGGAGGUCCUGGAUGAAUUGUUGGUCUUCUGCCGAGAGGCCAGAUGACUGCAGCCAUGACGCCCAUCUCAUUGACACCACCGAUGCCAUGGCUCUGUCUGUGGAAACUGCCACGUCUGAGGCAGCCUGGAGGGAGACCCUUGCAAUCGCCUUACCCUCAUCCAGCAUGGCACUGAACUGCUUAACGUCCUGCGGGAGCAAGUCAGCAAACUUGGCUGUGGAUUGUCAUA
Non-coding RNA from Chrysemys picta bellii (western painted turtle), 398 nucleotides. The record is from RefSeq and is a predicted model, not a curated record. Lineage: Eukaryota; Metazoa; Chordata; Testudines; Emydidae.